Molecule: long non-coding RNA, 238 nt
Organism: Anastrepha ludens (Mexican fruit fly)
Lineage: Eukaryota; Metazoa; Arthropoda; Insecta; Diptera; Tephritidae
Exons: 2
Source: RefSeq, a predicted model, not a curated record
GCUACCUACUUAUGUCAGUGAUUCUCUACAAACUUUGUCAGAAGCUGAUGAAGACGAUGACAUUCAUGAGGACAAAUCCGCAGAAUGGAGUAGCGGUGAUGAAGAUAAUCGAGAUACCGACGAGGACGAUGAAGUUGAUUAAAUAUUUUUUUUGAUUUAAUAAUAAUGUUUGACACAUUAUAUUUUUACUUUGUAUUGUAAUGGCUAUAAUUAUAAAUAUAAUUGAAAUCUUUUUCGA